This 73-nucleotide transfer RNA is filed under the name Chloroflexota bacterium. Its description in RNAcentral is "Chloroflexi bacterium (bioreactor metagenome) tRNA-Lys". It matches the Rfam family "tRNA". Rfam says of the family: Transfer RNA (tRNA) molecules are approximately 80 nucleotides in length. Their secondary structure includes four short double-helical elements and three loops (D, anti-codon, and T loops). The record is from RNAcentral. Lineage: Bacteria; Bacillati; Chloroflexota.
GGCCCGCUAGCUCAACUGGCAGAGCAACUGACUCUUAAUCAGUAGGUUAUAGGUUCGAUUCCUAUGCGGGUCA